RNAcentral lists this unclassified non-coding RNA (437 nucleotides) under uncultured Tomentella. Its description in RNAcentral is "sequence contains ITS2". The stretch from base 1 to 155 matches the Rfam family "5.8S ribosomal RNA". The record is from RNAcentral. Lineage: Eukaryota; Fungi; Basidiomycota; Agaricomycetes; Thelephorales; Thelephoraceae.
AACUUUCGGCAAUGGAUCACUUGGCUCUCGCAUCGAUGAAGAACGCAGCGAAAUGCGAUAAGUAAUGUGAAUUGCAGAAUUCAGUGAAUCACCGAAUCUUUGAACGCACCUUGCGCCCUUUGCCUAUUCUGAAGGGCAUUCCUGUUUGAGUAUCGUCAACACCUCAACUCGUCAUGUUUUGCCAUGAUGAGCUUGGACUUUGGGGGUCUUGCUAGCCUAGGGUCCGCUCCUCUAAAAUGUAUCAGCUUGUCAGUGUUUGGUGGCAUCACAAGUAAGUUAAAUAUCUACACUAGUGCUUUUCCACCAUAUAAUCUUCAGCAAUGAAGGUUCGCUGGAGCGCACAAAUGCCCCUCCUCUGUGGCGACAGCUUUGGAACGUUUAAUCUCAAAUCAUCCAGGAUUCCCCUCUGACCUUAAUCAUAUCAAUAAGCGGAGGCU